RNAcentral lists this ribosomal RNA (253 nucleotides) under uncultured bacterium. RNAcentral describes it as "partial 16S ribosomal RNA". It matches the Rfam family "Bacterial small subunit ribosomal RNA", at positions 524 to 776 of the family's 1533-position model. The record is from RNAcentral.
UACGUAGGCAGCAAGCGUUGUUCGGAAUUACUGGGCGUAAAGAGUGUGUAGGCGGUGCUCUAAGUUCGGUGUGAAAUCUCCCGGCUUAACUGGGAGGGUGCAUUAGAAACUGGAAUGCUAGAGGAUGGGAGAGGUAAGCGGAAUUCCUGGUGUAGCGGUGAAAUGCGUAGAUAUCAGGAGGAACACCUGUGGUGUAGACAGCUUACUGGACCAUUUCUGACGCUGAGACACGAAAGCGUGGGUAGCAAACAGG